GAUCAUGGCUCAGGAUGAACGCUAGCGGCAGGCUUAACACAUGCAAGUCGAGGGGCAGCGUAAUGGAUAGCAAUAUCUAUGGUGGCGACCGGCGCACGGGUGCGUAACGCGUAUGCAAUCCACCUGUAACAGGGGGAUAACCCGGAGAAAUCCGGACUAAUACCCCAUAAUAUGGGCGCUCCGCAUGGAGAGCCCAUUAAAGAGAGCAAUUUUGGUUACAGACGAGC
This 227-nucleotide ribosomal RNA is filed under the name uncultured bacterium. RNAcentral's name for it is "partial 16S ribosomal RNA". It matches the Rfam family "Bacterial small subunit ribosomal RNA", at positions 15 to 230 of the family's 1533-position model. The record is from RNAcentral.